GCGAAGCGGUGACGUGGAGCAAACCUCAGAAAGCCAAUCUCAGUUCGGAUUGUAGGCUGCAACUCGCCUACAUGAAGUUGGAAUCGCUAGUAAUCGCGAAUCAGAAUGUCGCGGUGAAUACGUUCCCGGGUCUUGUACACACCGCCCGUCACACCACGAGAGUUUACAACACCCGAAGUCAGUGGCCUAACCUCAAGGAGGGAGCUGCCUAAGGUGGGGUAGAUGAUUGGGGUGAAGUCGUAACAAGGUAUC
This 252-nucleotide ribosomal RNA is filed under the name uncultured bacterium. RNAcentral's name for it is "partial 16S ribosomal RNA". It matches the Rfam family "Bacterial small subunit ribosomal RNA", at positions 1249 to 1500 of the family's 1533-position model. The record is from RNAcentral.